UUUUUUAAACCAUUUGGAGAGGGUAUUUUUGCCUUGUGAGGUAGCUUUUUUGUGAAGGAAGUCUUAAAGCUUUGCCCAGCCAGACUGUUGGUAACACUGUCCAAGCUUUCAAGUUUUGACUCGGUUGAAAACUUUCUGCAAAAGGUGGCUAUUGUUAG
This is a long non-coding RNA of Carya illinoinensis, 158 nucleotides long. RefSeq lists it as uncharacterized. The transcript has 2 exons. Lineage: Eukaryota; Viridiplantae; Streptophyta; Magnoliopsida; Fagales; Juglandaceae. The record is from RefSeq and is a predicted model, not a curated record.